UGACCUCAUGAUCCGCCUGCCUCGGCCUCCCAAAGUGCUGGGAUGACAGGUGUGAGCCACUGCACCCGGCUGCAACCAUGUCUAAGCAUGUCUCCUUUUCUCCAGGAGAAACACAGUGCCUUCAAUGAUUCCCCGGGAGAGGAGUUCUCUGUAUCCUGAUGCUCUGUCAUCCUCUCGUGAAUGGACUGCAGAUUGUCCACAUCUCUCCUAAACUAUGCUGCCCGUAUUUAAGUAAAGCUGGCCUAAGAAGCUCAGAGGGAGCCCUGGUUCACUUAAUGCAAUUCCUUCCCUUGGUGCAGCCGAAGAGGGCUGAGGUUGUUCCGGCAGCCUCCUCACCUGCUGCGGCUCAUAUAGAAACUGAGAGUCAGUGCAAACCCUCAGAUGUUUUCCUGGAUCUUUUCCAUAUGAAAAACGGCCAGUUUGUUGAUGUACAUCUGACUUCUCCCUUUUAAAUGCUGACUGUCAAGUUCAAUCUUAAUUUCUUUUGACUUGCUCAGCAAUCCCAUCUUAACUUUCACAUCUCAUUUUAGCUCUUUCCCCCAGUUUUCGGUUAAGCACAAACUUACCAAUCAAGACAUUGUGCUUUUUUUUUUUGAGAUGGAGUCUAGCUUUGUUGCCAGGCUGGAGUGCAGUGGUUCAAUCUCAGUUCAUUGCAACCUCCACCUCCCAGGUUCAAGCGAUUCUCGUGCCUCAGCCUCCCAAGUAGCUGAGAUUACAGGUGUGUGCCACCAUGCCUGGCUAAUUUUUGUAUUUUUAGUAGAGAUGAGGUUUCACCAUGUUGGUCAGGCUGGUCUUGAACUCCUGACCUCCAGUGAUCUGCCCGCCUCGGCCUCCCAAAAUGCUGGGAUUACAGGUGUGAGCCACUGCGCCUGGCCAUUAGGUGUAUUUCACCACAGUAAAAAACGAUAAAUUACAAAAAAUGGUGACGUGCCAGGGACAAUGCCGUGUGCAGCUCGUUGUCUGGCCCUGUCCCCAGGGUGCCCUGCUCUAGGACGUCAGGCCCGGAAUCCCAGGAAGCAGGGGAGGAGAGGGAGGUACCUCUUCAUUCCAGGCCCAGGAUACAGCCCAGCUCUGCCGUGGUUGCGCACAGUGACGAUCUAUCUCUGCCUCUCAGGCCAGGAACAUGUUUUCACCGAGACCCACAAAGCGCAGUCACUGACCCUGUGCCCAGACACCUUGGUGAGCAGGGACAGCCUGGUCGCACUGUUAAAGGAAAGGGGUCCCGAUCCAGACCCCAAGAGAGGGUUCUUGGAUCUUGCUCAAGAAAGAAUUCAGGGCGAGUCUGCAGUGCAAAGCAAAAGCAAGUUUAUUAAGAAAGUCAAGUGGUGAAAGAACAGCUACUCCCUGGACAGAGCAGGGCGUUCCCAAAAGUAAGAGGAGGAAUGCGUCCACCCUAAGUACAAUGCUUGUAUAUAUAUAGGAUAAAAAAAGAUCAUAGGGAGAUGUGCUCUGCUACAGGGGUUUGUCAUAAAGGAUUCCUUUUUUAAAUUACCACAUUUUGCAAGAAUCAAUGUUAUUAUCUUUGAAGAAAAAUUAGGAAUGCCUUUGUUCUCAAGAUAUCGGGAUAUCUGGACACUCCCAAGUUUGGAUUUGUUUAGUAAACAUUAUUAAUUCACUUCCUUAACUGUAAACAUCUAGAGGUUGGGAAUACCUUUCUGGGAAUGGAGCCCAGAUUCUGGGAAUGCAAGUCCCUACUGCAUUUUCCUAGCCCUCACUCAAGAUGGAGUCGCUCUGGUUCAAACACCUCUGACACCCCCUCUACAAGCUCCCGGGAUGUUUAAACAAGCCAUUCCCAGAGAGGCGAUGCAGAGGUGCAGGGCAGGCCCUGAGCCCUGGCCACAGGCGAUGCUUAAGCUGAGCGCUGAAAGGAGGGGUAGGAGUUCAGCAGGUGAGUUGUUAGAAGACUUGCAUUUCAAGCAGAAGAUCUGGAAAGACGCGCUGACCGAUCAGCGAAAGGCCGUGAGCUGUGGGUGGUGCGGAGACUGCGGAAGCUGAGGACAUGGAGCUAAGGCGGGCUCAGACUUCCUCCUGAGGGCAACAGUUUUUAGCUGGGGAGGAACAUGACCAAAUCUGCCUUUCCCAGUGACCUCUCUGAUCUCUUUGAUGCAGUGUAGAUCCGUGCUUAGCAAACUCAGAAGGCCCUGUCACCAGCAGGAAGGAAGAGACCCCACGACUGAGGGCAGUGGUAGGUUUAGGGGCCGGCCACAGGUGGGACCGAAAGGGGUAGCUAGGGAUGGGCUGUAGGGGUGAGAGGGGAGGAGGAAUGGAGGGUUGAUGAUGCCUUCUAUCAGGAGGGGAACAUGCUAGAAGCAGUUUUGGGGGGAGGUGGGAAGGGUGGGUAAGCAGAUGAAGGAUUGGGUCUUGGAGAUGCUGCUAGUUUGGCUUUGACGGUGCAGGUCCUCUGCUAUGAGGUGAGUGGCUGUGCCCGCCAGCUCCUCUUCUCACUCCCUUCUAGGGCUAUGAGAUUUGUGACCCUUUCCUCUGCCUGCCUCUGCCCCUGCCCCUUGGGACCCUGCUGGACCAGGCAUCCAUCCUAUGGAACUUUCCAUGAAGCGCUGACCUCCCUGCCCCUGAGGCAUUGGGUGAGUGGCAGGUGAGAGCUGCUCACAGGGCAUUAAAGGGGUUCAAAAUAGCACCCAAGGCCGGGCAUGGUAGUUUACACCUGUAAUCCCAGUACUUUGGGAGGCUGAGGCGGGCAGAUCACCUAAGGUCAGGAGCUCGAGAGCAGCCUGGCCAACAUGGAAAAACCCCUUUUCUACUAAAAAUACAAAAAAUCUCCGGGCAUGGUGGUGUGGGCACCUGUAAUCCCAGCUACUUGGGAGGCUGAGGCAGGAGAAUCGCUUGAACCCGGGAGGCAGAAGUUACAGUGAGCAAGAUCGCACUAUUGCACUCCAGCCUGGGCAAAAAGAGCGAGACUCCAUCUCAAAAAAAAAAAAAAAAAUUGCACCUAAGCCCAAGCCCAGAAGGUGGCCCUGAAACUGGGCCUUCCUUUGAAGCUAGGCCUGGUAUUUGCCAUGAUUGUGCCUCCUUCCCCACGUCACCAACGUUGACUGCCCUCCAUUACCCGGUGCUGCCUGGGCGCUGCGUGGGUGCUGGCGUGUGAAAUGGCAACGUGAGGCCGUGUCUACUGAGCCAGGCAUCUUAGUGCUUUACACAGAGAAAUGAAACCUCCUAGCUACGCUGUGAGUUAGGGACCAUUGAUUCCCAUUUUUCAGAUAAGGAAACAACCAAGGCACGGAGUGGUUGGUAGGUGGACUAAGGUCACCCAACAGCUGGAGGCAAAAGGAGACACGUGUCUCCACCAGGAGCCACCAGCUGUCCCCUCCUUCUCCAUCCCACAGAUUGAGUGAAGGCUUGGGCUACUCCGGCUGGACAGUAUCAAGUGUUACAUUCUGUAGAGCCAGGAUGUUCCUCCAAUCCUUUAAUCCCAAAUAUUUUGUUUUGUUUUGUUUUGUUUUGUUUUGCGGCAGAGUCUUGCUCUGUCAUCCAGGCUGGAGUACAGUGGUGCAAUCUCAGCUCACUGCAACCUCUGCCUCCCGGGUUCAAGUGAUUCUCCUGCCUCAGCCUCCUGAGUAGCUGGGACUACAGAUGUGCGCCACCACACCCAGCUAAUUUUUGUAUUUUUUGUUGACACGGGGUUUUACCAUAUUGGCCAGGCUGGUCAUGAACUCCUGACCUUGAGUGAUCUGCCCGCCUCAGCCUCCCAAAGGGCUGGGAUUACAGGCAUGAGCCACCACACCUGGCCUAAUCCCAAAUUUUAAACCUGCUUCUUGUUCUGCCUCUAGUGAAAUCAAAGAUCCCUCUGCUGCUGUCCCUAUGGGAAUGUGGACAGGGAUGACAUUUCUCGCCAGCUCUGGGUGGCUCCUCUGGUCCUGCCCUUCACUGUCCAGCUCCUCAAGUCCUCCUCAAUUCCCCUCUUCUCCAGCCCUACUGCCACUGUCCCCACCUGAGUACAGACCUUCAUAAUUUCCCACUGGCCCCCCACCUCUGGUCCCCCCAGUCCCUCUCCUAGUCCAUUUGUAUUUAUUUAUUUAAUUUUAUUUUGAGAUGGAGUUUCGCUCUUGUUGCCCAGGCUGGGGUGCAAUGGUGCGAUCUCAGCUCACUGCAACCUCCGACUCCCAGGUUCAAGUGAUUUUCCUGCCUCAGCCUCCCGAGUAGCUGGGAUUACAGGCAUGCACCACCACACCCGGCUAAUUUUGUAUUUUUAGUGGAGAUGGGGUUUCUCCAUGUUGGUCAGGCUGGUGUUGAACUCCCAACCUCAGGUGACCCGCCCGCCUCAGCCUCCCAAAGUGCUGGGAUUAUAGGCGUGAGCCACUGCACCCGGCCCCUAGUCCAUUUUUAUACACAGCUCUGAGGAUGCUCCAAUCUGACGACAGCAUCUGCUCACUUAGCGCCCUGCCCCGGUGUCUCAUCGCCUUGGGGAUAAAAUCCACACUCUGAGAGUCAGUGCAAAGUUCUUGGCGUGGCCGCUGCCCUCUCCAUUUUCCCAGGCCUUGCUCUACCGAACAAGUCCCUCUCUCAGCGCCUCCCGAAGGCCAGCUCCCUGGCAGGGCUGAUGGUGAUAAAGUGUUCAGUAGUCAGCAAUAAAGAGGGAAAAACAGCAAUACUGAUUCAUAGAUACGAAAUCAACCAGAUGUAUCAGCCAAGUUGCCAGCACUCCUUUCUUGGUCACAGUAUCUUUUAUUCCAAACGUCCUUUCUAUUUAUUUUUUGUAGUUGAGAUAUUAUUCCUUCUUUUGUAAAAUGGUGGUGAGAACAAAGGACUAUUUUUUUAAAUGUCCUUACUUGGCAAACUAAAAAAUGUUUGCAGCUCUAGUAAGACUCCAUUUUCAUCUUGACAACUCAGUGGUGUGCGGGGGCUGGCCCACAGGCGGCCACACAGAUGUGGCUCCCUGGGCCGUUUACUCUUCUGCCAGAAAUGCGCCCCCGACCCAUGGCUUGCUCAUUCCCCACCAUCCUUCAAUGCAGGUCUUCCCUGACGUUUUUUUUUUAAGAGGGAGUUUCGCUCUUUUUGCCCAAGCUGGAGUGCAGUGGUGCAACCUCAGCUCACCGCAACCUCUGCCUCCUGGGUUCAAGCAAUUCUCAUGCCAGUGUCCGGAGUAGCUGGGAUUACAGACACGUGCCACCAUGCCUGGCUAAUUUUUUGUAUUUUUAGUAGAGACAAGGGUUCACCAUGUUGGCCAGGCUGGCCUCGAACUUCUGACCUCAGGUGAUCUACCUGCCUCCCCUCCCACACUGCUGGGAUUACAGGUGUGAGCCACCAUGUCCGGCCUUCCCUGACCUUUCUUCCCCCAAAGCCCAUCCUUGCAUGAGUGCAUCAUCCAGAACUCAGCACUGCGUCCAUUUGCACAUCUGCCUCCCCGUGGACCUCGGCUGGUGGAAACCAGGCCCCCUCACAUUUCCUUUUCCAGAGCCCAGCCCAGCCCUGCCCUGACUGCCCAUACACAGAGCAGGUUUGCAAAAUGCCUGACAGAGAAUGAAUGACUCCAGCUUCCUCCUCAGCAGCAGGUGGAGGUGGGGGGUUGGGGCACCCAGCCCUCUGCUGGCUUCACCUGUCCGUGCCCGUGCAGUUGAACUGGGCUCUCCAGGACUGCCUGCCUGCUGGGCCUCAGCACCACCAAGGGCUUCAAGGGCCCCAGCUGGGUGCCACGGACCCCUCUCCAAUUCCACUAGGAGAUCAGGGGCUGGGGUGCCUCAUCUGGCCCUAAAGCCCCAUGGCACUGACCUGGUGCCUGUGUGAUUCUUCCUCACUGUUCCCAGACAGGGGCCAGGAAAUGGAAUGAAAGCAGCCAGUCUCUGAAGAGCUGGAGACCAUCAUCUGCCUCGGGAAGCCCAGGGAACCUCGGCUCAGACAGGACAGAGACUGUGGGAAGGGAGGAGACUGUGACAGAGAAGCAGAGGAGGGUGACAGAGUCAGGGAAGAACAAAACAGCCUGCAGUGGGAGCAGAGACAAAAAUGUGGGGGACCCACAGGGAGGGGAGGGAGGGAGGGAGGGGAGGGAGGGAA
This is a long non-coding RNA of Macaca fascicularis (crab-eating macaque), 6006 nucleotides long. Lineage: Eukaryota; Metazoa; Chordata; Mammalia; Primates; Cercopithecidae. The record is from Ensembl.